This 1180-nucleotide ribosomal RNA is filed under the name Acinetobacter tandoii DSM 14970 = CIP 107469. RNAcentral describes it as "bacterial LSU rRNA". It matches the Rfam family "Bacterial large subunit ribosomal RNA", at positions 1744 to 2925 of the family's 2925-position model. The record is from RNAcentral. Lineage: Bacteria; Pseudomonadati; Pseudomonadota; Gammaproteobacteria; Moraxellales; Moraxellaceae.
GGACUUGCUCCCUGAGCUAUUGGCAGCCACAGAAACCAGGCCGCUGCAACUGUUUAUUAAAAACAUAGCACUCUGCAAACACGAAAGUGGACGUAUAGGGUGUGAUGCCUGCCCGGUGCUGGAAGGUUAAUUGAUGGGGUUAGCGUAAGCGAAGCUCUUGAUCGAAGCCCCAGUAAACGGCGGCCGUAACUAUAACGGUCCUAAGGUAGCGAAAUUCCUUGUCGGGUAAGUUCCGACCUGCACGAAUGGCAUAAUGAUGGCGGCGCUGUCUCCAGCAGAGGCUCAGUGAAAUCGAAAUCGCUGUGAAGAUGCAGUGUACCCGCGGCUAGACGGAAAGACCCCGUGAACCUUUACUGCAGCUUGACAUUGAACUUUGACCUUACUUGUGUAGGAUAGGUGGGAGGCUUUGAAGUUGGAACGCCAGUUCCAAUGGAGCCGUCCUUGAAAUACCACCCUGGUAAUGUUGAGGUUCUAACUCUGUCCCGUUAUCCGGGACGAGGACCAUGUCUGGUGGGUAGUUUGACUGGGGCGGUCUCCUCCUAAAGAGUAACGGAGGAGUACGAAGGUGCGCUCAGCGUGGUCGGAAAUCACGCGUAGAGUAUAAAGGCAAAAGCGCGCUUAACUGCGAGACCCACAAGUCGAGCAGGUACGAAAGUAGGUCUUAGUGAUCCGGUGGUUCUGUAUGGAAGGGCCAUCGCUCAACGGAUAAAAGGUACUCUGGGGAUAACAGGCUGAUACCGCCCAAGAGUUCAUAUCGACGGCGGUGUUUGGCACCUCGAUGUCGGCUCAUCUCAUCCUGGGGCUGAAGCAGGUCCCAAGGGUAUGGCUGUUCGCCAUUUAAAGAGGUACGCGAGCUGGGUUUAGAACGUCGUGAGACAGUUCGGUCCCUAUCUACCGUGGGCGCUGGAAAUUUGAGAGGAUCUGCUCCUAGUACGAGAGGACCAGAGUGGACGAACCUCUGGUGUACCGGUUGUGACGCCAGUCGCAUCGCCGGGUAGCUAUGUUCGGAAGGGAUAACCGCUGAAAGCAUCUAAGCGGGAAGCCUACCUCAAGAUAAGAUUUCCCUAGGACUUUAUGUCCUCUAAAGAGCCGUUGAAGACUACGACGUUGAUAGGUUGGAUGUGGAAGCAUAGUGAUAUGUGAAGCUGACCAAUACUAAUUGCUCGUGAGGCUUGACUAU